Molecule: long non-coding RNA, 300 nt
Filed under: Elaeis guineensis (African oil palm)
Lineage: Eukaryota; Viridiplantae; Streptophyta; Magnoliopsida; Arecales; Arecaceae
Description: long non-coding RNA (EGUI_LNC043353)
Source: RNAcentral
GGAUCUUAGGUAAAUACAUCAAAUGCAAAAAUCUUAAGUCUUGGCAAUGUACAUCCAUAUGUAGCAUUCCAAAGCUAUGUGUAUCACAUGCACUGGAUUUCAAAUUUCAUCGAAAAUUAGAUUAUGGGAUCUAAUCUUAAACUUGUCACACAAGUCUAAAGACCAUGAAAUUUCAUAUCUAAGAUUUGAACAUAGAUUGAUAAAACUUUAUCAUAAACAAAAAUACAUCAAGAACAUCAAGUAAACAUCAAUCGAAAAAUCUGAUUUUGACAUAGUUUGAACUGGAUCUAAUCCAUAUCA